AGGUUGACCUCGGAUCAGGUAGGAAUACCCGCUGAACUUAAGCAUAUCAUUAAGCGGAGGA
Molecule: ribosomal RNA, 61 nt
Filed under: Phaeoacremonium minimum
Lineage: Eukaryota; Fungi; Ascomycota; Sordariomycetes; Togniniales; Togniniaceae
Description: partial 28S ribosomal RNA
Rfam family: Eukaryotic large subunit ribosomal RNA
Source: RNAcentral